GGGUCGUUAGCUCAGUUGGUUAGAGCAGCGGACUCAUAAUCCGUUGGUCGCAGGUUCGAGCCCUGCACGACCUACCA
RNAcentral lists this transfer RNA (77 nucleotides) under Burkholderiaceae bacterium. Its description in RNAcentral is "tRNA-Ile". It matches the Rfam family "tRNA". Rfam says of the family: Transfer RNA (tRNA) molecules are approximately 80 nucleotides in length. Their secondary structure includes four short double-helical elements and three loops (D, anti-codon, and T loops). The record is from RNAcentral. Lineage: Bacteria; Pseudomonadati; Pseudomonadota; Betaproteobacteria; Burkholderiales; Burkholderiaceae.